RNAcentral lists this ribosomal RNA (537 nucleotides) under Pseudomonas sp. STEP_aq_268. RNAcentral describes it as "bacterial SSU rRNA". It matches the Rfam family "Bacterial small subunit ribosomal RNA", at positions 50 to 582 of the family's 1533-position model. Lineage: Bacteria; Pseudomonadati; Pseudomonadota; Gammaproteobacteria; Pseudomonadales; Pseudomonadaceae. The record is from RNAcentral.
UAAACAUGCAAGUCGAGCGGAUGAGUUUGAGCUUGCUCUUCGAUUCGCGGCGGACGGGUGAGUAAUGCCUAGGAAUCUGCCUGGUAGUGGGGGACAACGUUUCGAAAGGAACGCUAAUACCGCAUACGUCCUACGGGAGAAAGCAGGGGACCUUCGGGCCUUGCGCUAUCAGAUGAGCCUAGGUCGGAUUAGCUAGUUGGUGAGGUAAUGGCUCACCAAGGCUACGAUCCGUAACUGGUCUGAGAGGAUGAUCAGUCACACUGGAACUGAGACACGGUCCAGACUCCUACGGGAGGCAGCAGUGGGGAAUAUUGGACAAUGGGCGAAAGCCUGAUCCAGCCAUGCCGCGUGUGUGAAGAAGGUCUUCGGAUUGUAAAGCACUUUAAGUUGGGAGGAAGGGCAGUAAGCUAAUACCUUGCUGUUUUGACGUUACCGACAGAAUAAGCACCGGCUAACUCUGUGCCAGCAGCCGCGGUAAUACAGAGGGUGCGAGCGUUAAUCGGAAUUACUGGGCGUAAAGCGCGCGUAGGUGGUUUG